UUGAAAGGGAAACGAUUGAAGUCAGUCAUGCUUGCAGGGAAUCAGCAUGGUGGUUUUCUUCCUUGUGCACUUCCUUGCUUGGCAGGUUAGCAUCAAUUUUGAUUGUCAUUAAAGAACCGGGGUAAUGUGGCUUCUUCGGGAGUGUUAUAGACCUUGGUAGAUGUGACGAUCGGGAUUGAGGAUUGCAGCGAAUGCUUCUUGGCUAGUCACCUGGCUUCUGACGGUUACCUUGCUUUCGAUAGCUUGCUAACGUUGGUGAGAUUUGAUUGUCUAGAUGUUAGUGUGAUCAUAAAUUCGCUAAGGAUGCUGACGUAAUGGCUUUAAACGACCCGUCUUGAAACACGGACCA
RNAcentral lists this ribosomal RNA (349 nucleotides) under Glomeromycotina sp. Its description in RNAcentral is "partial large subunit ribosomal RNA". The record is from RNAcentral. Lineage: Eukaryota; Fungi; Glomeromycota.